AGAUUAAGUUAUUAAGGGCGCACGGUGGAUGCCUUGGCACUAGAAGCCGAUGAAGGACGUUACUAACGACGAUAUGCUUUGGGUAGCUGUAAGUAAGCGUUGAUCCAGAGAUUUCCGAAUGGGGGAACCCAGCACGAGUUAUGUCGUGUUAUCGACAAGUGAAUUCAUAGCUUGUCAGAAGGCAGACCCGGAGAACUGAAACAUCUUAGUACCCGGAGGAAGAGAAAGAAAAUUCGAUUCCCUGAGUAGCGGCGAGCGA
The sequence is a ribosomal RNA, 259 nucleotides long. It matches the Rfam family "Bacterial large subunit ribosomal RNA", at positions 1 to 256 of the family's 2925-position model.